Molecule: ribosomal RNA, 523 nt
Filed under: uncultured bacterium
Lineage: Bacteria
Description: partial 16S ribosomal RNA
Rfam family: Bacterial small subunit ribosomal RNA
Source: RNAcentral
GACGAACGCUGGCGGCGUGCCUAGUACAUGCAAGUCGAACGCUUUUUCUUUCACCGGAGCUUGCUCCACCGAAAGAAAAAGAGUGGCGAACGGGUGAAUAACACGUGGGUAACCUGCCCAUCAGAAGGGGAUAACACUUGGAAACAGGUGCUAAUACCGUAUAACACUAUUUUCCGCAUGGAAGAAAGUUGAAAGGCGCUUUUGCGUCACUGAUGGAUGGACCCGCGGUGCAUUAGCUAGUUGGUGAGGUAACGGCUCACCAAGGCAACGAUGCAUAGCCGACCUGAGAGGGUGAUCGGCCACACUGGGACUGAGACACGGCCCAGACUCCUACGGGAGGCAGCAGUAGGGAAUCUUCGGCAAUGGACGAAAGUCUGACCGAGCAACGCCGCGUGAGUGAAGAAGGUUUUCGGAUCGUAAAACUCUGUUGUUAGAGAAGAACAAGGAUGAGAGUAGAACGUUCAUCCCUUGACGGUAUCUAACCAGAAAGCCACGGCUAACUACGUGCCAGCCGCCGCGGUAA